Balaenoptera ricei (Rice's whale) is the source of this 949-nucleotide long non-coding RNA. RefSeq lists it as uncharacterized. The record is from RefSeq and is a predicted model, not a curated record. The transcript is spliced from 6 exons. Lineage: Eukaryota; Metazoa; Chordata; Mammalia; Artiodactyla; Balaenopteridae.
ACAAUAACUUUACGGGAGCCGGGCAGCGCACCUCCCCGGCCGCUGGGGCGCCGUACGCCCGGCGACUAGCGAGGGCCUCGGCCUGUCCCACCGAGGGAGCCUCUAAGUCCCCACGCCAGGGUUUUGGAAGGGGCGCGAGCAAUUGCGAAGCUCACUGAAAAGCCUACCUCCCAGCUGCAAAUCCCCAGCUCCUGAUGGGUUCCAACCUCCCCCCUGCCGCCUGCUCGGGAGGCCGCCAGGGUGUUGCUGCUGCACUUCAAGGCCAUCCUGUGGCUGCCCAGUCGGAAGAAAGCUUGAUGGUGGUUCGUCUGUGUCAUUGCUGUCCGCUGCCUUAGAUCGUGAAUGAAGACAAACUGAGGAAUAUGUUGAACCUAUUCCACCCAUCACAAUACCAUCAAAAGACACACCAAAGCACUUCUGAAUGAUGAAUCAGACUUAUUUACUGACCACCUACCAUGUGCAAAGCCCUCUGCUAGCUGUGAGUGGAUGAAAGGAUGAGUUACCUAAGGUUCCUGCUGUCAAAAGCUGCCUCUGAGAUCCCUGAUUCUGCCGGACAGAAGGAAUCUUCCAUUUUUCUGCUCUCCAUAGCAUGGACUAGCCCUAUUACAGAGAACAUUACAACAUUACAUUGUUGGUGAAACCAGGGCACAGCGAUUAGAUAGAUAAAUACAAUCUCUAAUUAUUUAGGUGAAAAGAUGUUACUGCAGGAGGAAACUAUCCCCCGUGAUGGGCAGGGCCAGGUGGCCCAGCAACCUGGGCCUUUUCACACGGAGCUUCCUGUUUUGUGGUUGCUUGCUUAUGUUCGCCCCUGCUGAUGAAGUUUGUAAAGCAGGGGUCCCCAACCCCUGGGCCAUGAACCGGUACCUGUCCGUGACCUGUUAGGAACCCGGCCACACAGCAGGAGGAUUUUUGUAACAAAACGUGUUCAACAAGUUGAAUGAAAGAAAGC